RNAcentral lists this small nuclear RNA (68 nucleotides) under Crocodylus porosus (Australian saltwater crocodile). RNAcentral's name for it is "U5 spliceosomal RNA (ENSCPRG00005007118.1)". It matches the Rfam family "U5 spliceosomal RNA", at positions 7 to 74 of the family's 117-position model. Rfam says of the family: U5 RNA is a component of both types of known spliceosome. The precise function of this molecule is unknown, though it is known that the 5' loop is required for splice site selection and p220 binding, and that both the 3' stem-loop and the Sm site are important for Sm protein binding and cap methylation. Lineage: Eukaryota; Metazoa; Chordata; Crocodylia; Crocodylidae. The record is from Rfam by way of RNAcentral.
UGGUUUCUCUUCAAGUUGCAUAAAUCAUUCGCCUUUUACUAAAGAUUUCCAUGGAGAGGAACAGCUAU